CUUCGAAUUAAAAUAUUAUGCCUUUGAGCACUAACGAAACCCUAUUUCGUAGUGCUGAGAGACUUUGAAAAGUACAUUCUUUCAAGAGGAUGAGAAGCAAGAACUGCCUCAGCGUGUGCAGGAGCCUGAGUCACUCGUUACGUUCAGAACGUGCAUCUACCCGGAGCAGCAACUUUCGAACUGUGUGGACCUGGUGUAACGGGAUUUCUAUGCCGCAGCGGGAAGCAGACCCU
This 233-nucleotide long non-coding RNA is filed under the name Chinchilla lanigera (long-tailed chinchilla). RNAcentral's name for it is "lncRNA (ENSCLAG00000023026.1)". Lineage: Eukaryota; Metazoa; Chordata; Mammalia; Rodentia; Chinchillidae. The record is from RNAcentral.